Molecule: long non-coding RNA, 522 nt
Filed under: Numida meleagris (helmeted guineafowl)
Lineage: Eukaryota; Metazoa; Chordata; Aves; Galliformes; Numididae
Description: lncRNA (ENSNMEG00000008825.1)
Source: RNAcentral
GCACAAGUCCCUCAGGCCCUGGUUCUCACAGCAGCAAAAGUCACAGCAGUGAAUGGUGUAUAGAAUCAUAGAAUCAUAGAAUGGUUUGGGUUGGAAGGGACCUUUAAGAUCAUCUAGCUCCACCCCCCUGCCAUAGGCAGGGACACCUCCCUCUAGAGCCCAAUCCAGCCUGGCCUUGGGGCUUUGACACAUGGGCAUGGACACAGGGAGGCUCUAACACAUCUGAUUUACCUCAGGUUUGUGCCAGUAACAAAUCUGCUUGUUCAUUCAUUCCUCUAGAUUAGGACUGAAGUGUACAUGGAGGCCAAUGUACAUGGACCCCAAUACCCCACUGAAGACUUGGUGCAUGCAUGCAGAGAGUCCUGGAAGUAUCUACGGUGUGCUCAGAAAAAGGCAGGAGGAAGGAUGCUGUCUGUGCACAGCUUUGGUCUGCUGAUGAGGUCUGACUGCAAGAGAAUCCCAGUGGCAAUGAACUGAUGUGGUUGUGUUGUAUUUUUAAGGUGGGAUCAAAUUUCUUUAUUU